Molecule: ribosomal RNA, 253 nt
Filed under: uncultured bacterium
Lineage: Bacteria
Description: partial 16S ribosomal RNA
Rfam family: Bacterial small subunit ribosomal RNA
Source: RNAcentral
UACGGGGGGGGCAAGCGUUGUUCGGAAUUACUGGGCGUAAAGGGCUCGUAGGCGGCCAUCUAAGUCGGACGUGAAAUCCCUCGGCUUAACCGGGGAACUGCGUCUGAUACUGGAUGGCUUGAGUUCGGGAGAGGGAUGCGGAAUUCCAGGUGUAGCGGUGAAAUGCGUAGAUAUCAAGAGGAACACCGGUGGCGAAGGCGGAUCCCUGGAAGGUUCCUGACUCUGAAACACGAAAGCUAGGGGAGCAAACGGG